This 456-nucleotide long non-coding RNA is filed under the name Ricinus communis (castor bean). Its description in RNAcentral is "long non-coding RNA (RCOM_LNC000246)". Lineage: Eukaryota; Viridiplantae; Streptophyta; Magnoliopsida; Malpighiales; Euphorbiaceae. The record is from RNAcentral.
UUUUGGCAUGUGCCCUAAGUUUAUCCAACUAGAGCACCAUGUAAAUUCAUUUUAUUGGCAGGGUUGCAUCCUGUAACAUAGGAAAGAAUCCUUGACAGUGUUCAGAAUCCUUGAUCUUCACAUAAAGACCGUUCAAGGUGAGAUAAUUAUCCUCACCUAGACUAUCAUGCAGUGUUAAAUUACAGAAAAAGCAUUAAACUUGGUCAACCAUGCCCACCACUUCAAUGACACUGAUUAUAGAAGCCAGCAAAAAGAUCAUAGCAAUCCUUAACAGAUGCCCCCGAUGAUACAUUGUCCCUGUUCUUUAGCUUUCUAAAUUUUAAAGUAAUUUCAAUCCAGAAAGACCUCAACCACAAAUUGCAGCUACAAUCCCAAGACAGACUUCAACCAUUUUCAAUUCAAAUCACAUAAUAAGAAAGAAAAGGAUUUAGACUUUAUGCUUAACGUCAGAAAUUU